UCCUGUCCCUCCGUGGUUCAAGUACUGGAAAUCAACUUUUUGAUCAAAAACGAUGGUCAUGUAGGACGGUCCGUCAUUCACUCUACGGGGUGUCGUUUGCCUCCGUGGUUCCACACUUGUUCAGACUUCCUUGAACUCACAUCCACGAGCCAUCACCUACAGCCCGUCACUGGACCUACGGUCCGUGGUUUGGCUCCGUCAACUGCUACUGCUGCCACUUCAAUUCUUUUCUCUCUCAACCACUUUCGAACCAAUUUCCUGCAAAGAUUACAUAAAACCAUUAUAUCUACUAACAAAACAACCCAAGACACACACAAACUCUAAGUGAAAUGCAUCAAAAAUAUCAUAAACUGACGGUAUAUCAACACCCUCAACUUAAACUUGUUGUUUGUCCUCAAGCGACACAUUAAAAACUCUAAACGACACUUCAUGUAGAAGCAAACAUACAAACUCAAACAAUCACAUGGCUUUCUCAAUCAUUUCUAUCACUUGUGCAAAUCUUUUCAUUUAGACUCAACAGGACAGGCUAACUCAUGCGGAUCAAAAUAUGACAUACACAGACAAAUAGAUAUCACCACAUACACUUUCAACAAUCACCUAGGUACCAACUCUCCAACAAUGUAACUAGUGCCCUCACUUCAAAGAAAUCAUUUUUCACACAACAGCUCUGAUUUUUAAGCUUAAGGAUUCAGUUAACACUCACGCUCAGAAGUGAAUUCAAAUACAAUUAGUGCUCAAUAUCAUAGGCUUGCCCUUAUUUUCACUGCACAUACUCUCCAAGCUAGUCACUAAGAUCACUAUAGGACUUUAUUAGCAUGUAACGUAGGCUCAGAGUCAGGUAGGAUACAUUUGGAAACUUUUAGUGACUUUUCUGCCCUCCUUGACAUUACAUUGGCUAUUUACCUCUUUUCUCAACCAAUUCUGGCAUAAUUUUUUAUUUUCUACUUUUCUCCUUGCUUUCUUCAGCACAUAUAUGACUUGACUUUUUCAUUCUUCUUUUUCCACUUUUUCUUUUUCUUUUACUUCUUCUUUCUUUGUUUUUCAGCAUCAUUAUCAUUCUUUUUGUUUCUCUUGAAUUUAGUCACACCUUUUUCUAUCCCUUUUCUUCUUCUAUACACAACUCUUUUCAUACCCUUUUCUUUCAGUUUCCUUUUUCAUAGCCACCCUCAACUUAUGUAUAUUGCAUGAGUUGAGGUGCACAAUAUCCGAGGUCGGACCAGGGCCAAGAUUAAAGUAACUUUUGAAUUAGUCACCCUCAACUUAGGCUUUUGGGCUAAGUUAAGGUGCACAUGUCCAAGGAUGGACCAGGGCUAAAAUAGUCUUUAAGGGAAGGUGAGUUAGUGUAUUGAAUGAUGUGGUAUUCAUUAGGCUCAAACAAUUGGAUCAAAGGGAGCAUUUAUUUCUUUUGGUUGGAUCUUUCUAGGCUUAAGUGGACUUAUUUGAACAAGGGCCUAUGAUCAUUUCCCAAUUUCUAGCCUAGAUUAUCUUAGCAGGACCAAUGAGGCAAGUUCUAGAUUGACACAUACUGCAUGAACAUACAAUUUCCUCACACACACUUGGCACGUUGAUUCAUUAUCGAAUUAUUGAAGCACCUAGUUCAAGUUUUAGCUUAAGCCAUGCUAUUCUACUGGUUCCUAUCAUGUCACAUCCAGAUCCAACACAUUCAACUAAUAAAGCCCAUAGAUCUAGCACAUUUCAAAUUUUUUGGACGGGUAUCAAUUUCAUGCUCUUAUGACAUCAUGCUUUCAUUCUUUCUAUCUACUUCUACACAUACAAUCCUACACAUGCCGGUUCAACAGAAAACUAAAACAGACCCUUGGGGAAAAAGAACACAGGCAAGAAAACCCCAAGGGAGGGUUAUGAGUUAGGUUACUCAAACUUCACCCUAUCACACACAACCUAUUUACCCCACCCCCACGAAAAAAUGGUGCAAUUUCCCUCAAUGCACAAAAAAAGAAAAAUAAAGCAUAGGGUGAAGCAAACCUGUGGCGCAUACGCGUUGAUGACCCAUCAAGAAGCGGGUGGGUCUGAUUUCUCGGAACCCACUGGAUCAGCAAUAGGAACGCCAUUUGUAACACCCUCAUCAACAAUGGGAACAUCCUUAGUAGUGCUCCUCGACCCUGAUGGGCCAACAUCUAUCUCACGGGCCCGUUGCUGUCGCAACUCCUCAUCAAUAAUGGACUGCCUCUAGGCUACCUCCAACUGCUGUCGCUCUCUCCUUUUUGCCCGUCGGGCCUCCUUAGUGUCAGAAGUAUGGUCAGAAGAGCGGUGGCGCUUCCCACCCGCACAGGAAGGGUCGAGUGGUGGCAUAGUGUCGCCAAAGAGUGUAGUCAUCACCACCUCAACCUCAGGUGCGGUCUUCGAUAUAGUCUCAGUAGGGGAUAGAAGAGCAUCAACAUCAGAACGGAGCCUAGCCAACUCCGUCCGGAAAGUGGUAACAUCAAUGGUGGCUGCAUGCCUCUCCAAGACUCUCAACUUGAAUGCAUCUAGUCACUUGUGGACCGCCUGAAUCUUCGUGUCCAUCAUCCGCUCAAUACGAGCCUUUGACUCCUCAAUAGAUCGCUGCAUCCAGGGCCUCAUGUGCAGCAAGGUAGCCAUAUUCUCCCAAGACACCCAAUGCUUGCUUCUACCUUCAUUCUUGUUAUUCCAAAAGAAUCCAACAAAUAAUUUGUGAAGGUCAUGAACAACACACUUGGGUGGAUUUAUAAUUGAAAGGAGAUGAAUUGGCAUAUUCGGGUUCAUUUGCAAUUAGCACAACCUUACCUCCAUAAAAAAUAAUGUUUCCUUUACAAGCUUGAAGCUUGUUCUUUACCUUUUUAAUGAUAUCAUUAUAGAAAGAUUUUUUUUUUCUAGCAUGAAAGAUGGGACACCCAAGAUAUAAUAAAGGAAAUUGACCUCUGUUGAAUCCAGUGAUCUCUGAGACUUGAUUGACUAUGUUGCCAAAGACCUUGUUGUACAUGUAGAAAAAGCUUUUCUGGUGAUUGAUUUUCUGACCAGAUAUUCCUUCAUACUCAUUUAAGGUAUUCAAAUCUAACGUCAGAGAAUACUCAUCGGCAGACACAAAUAGCAGAUACAAAUAUUAGGGUAUCAUCAACAUAUGCUAAAUGGUUUAAGUCAGAACUCAACUUUGGCAUUCCAAACCCUCUGAAGGAUAUACUCCCUCUAUCUCUAAUUACUUGUCCACUUUUGAAUUGACACACCUAUUAAGAAAAUAAUGAUUGACAGACUGAGUUUAUCAUUUUACCCCUAUUAAUUAUGAAUGAGAUGAAUUAAAAAUUUAAGAUUUUCAAGAAGUUCUACCUUUUUAAAAGUAAUUAAUUGAGGAUAUAAUAGGUAAAAAAAAAUUAUUUUUUCAAAAUAAACAAGUAAAAAAGAAAAAUCGAAUGAGUAAUUACGGACAAAGGGAGUACUAUAGAAGUGUGUAUUUUUAUUUUUUUUACUUUUGAGCUAUUUUCUUUUCCAAAUUAGCCAACGACUUUGAGAUCAUACGGCUGCAAUUCAGCAAAAAUGACUCCAAAAGGUCACAUGGUAAGAGAAAUUAUCACUUCUUUCUUAUUUUGUACUCAAAAAUUCAUCAAAAACACAGCCCCCAAGGCCUAGCUCGAGUGACAAAAGGUGAAGGAUUUGUGGUUCAGGUCACAAGUUCAAGCCCCACACCAAGCAAAGCGAAACCCAAUAUUGAAGGGUAGAUAGAAGGCUGUGAUUGAUCCAAAGGACGGAUCACAAUCGAAUUUCUUGGUUAUCAAAAAAAAAAUUCACCAAAAACACAAAAAAUUACUACUCCCUCCGUCCCAUUUUAUAUGACACUUUUUGAAUUUCGAGAUUCAAACAAGUCUAUCUUUGACAGUAAAUUGUUCAUAGAUUUUUAAGCAUUUUGAAUUAUCUAUUAUUGUGACUUAUAGUACUUUUUACAUGGUUUACAAAUAUAUAAAUUUCAUUUCAAAAAAAUUGAAGAUUUGAUGCACAAAUUUCCGAUCAAACUUAAACUGUUUGACUCUCGAAAAACGAAAAAUGCCACAUAAAUUGGAACAGAGGGAUUAAUUCUUUUGGUUCCAUUUGCUGAUGAUUAUCGAUUUAGUGUUUGGGGAAUUUAAAUGUACUCAAAUAAAUUCAUAACGUCUUUUCUCCAAAAAAAUAUAUAAAAUGAAUUAUCAAACUAUCUCAAAAUGUAAACAUGUAUUGUCCAAAAAAAUUAAAUACAACACAAAAUUUGAAAUAUCUAAAUAUUUUAAUCUGAACUAUAAUUUUAUUUUUAUUUUUAUUUCUACCCAUGUUCGUGUUCACAUUGGAGUCCCAGUUAAAUUUAGAUUGCGCACUGCAAAUUUGAGGUUCGCACUGCACUUUCUAUUGACAUGUACCAAGAAUAAAGAAAGAAUAUCAACUCCCAACGCGCUUCCAAGCGACCCCUAGCUCAAAAUAUUCAAUUCCCAUACAAUUUCAAGCCCAAUCGAACCUUUAAUGGGGUAGAAGUCUUAGAGAAAUGAGGAAUCCAACAAUAUAUAGGCCUGUGUGACCCAAAGAUCCCGAUCACGAUGGUCAAGAAAAUUGACCUACAGGAGUGCGGCUCCAAGCUCGAGAACGUAAAGAGCAAACCAUGGUGCACCAACAAAGGUUGCACCAACUGAAGCUUGAAGUUGAGAAAUAUUUAGACGGAGUGCUCGUGAUUCAUUCAAAACCUUGUGCACAUACAUGAACAAUGCUACCCUACCAAAUUCGAUAUGUUGUCAUGUUUGGAAUAACUUAUCCCACCAUUUGUAGCAUAGAGAUGAGAUAAGUUCUCCCAUAUACAUGGUGGGAUAAGUUAUCGCAGGAUAACUAAUCCUGGGAUAGCUUGUUCUCAACCAAACGACCCCUUAAGAGUGCUAUAGAGCCAAAAUUGGCUAAGUUCUUAUUAUAGCAUACUGUGUGCAUUCAGAGUUCAUAGCAACUAUGAUCUUUCCUUACAAUUGUAAGUUUGUUGCCACGUAAAAAGUGAUGUAAAUGAAUUUGUAAUUACUCCACAUUUUCAUGAAGUUGAAAGGCUACAACAGAUGAUCUUUCCUUACAAUUAUAUUAUGUGUUUCUAUUUCAAAGCUAAUCAACAUUUUUUUCAAGUUGAAUAUCUGAAUAAAAUGAAUAUAAUGGCAUUGAUUAUGAUCCGUUAGCAUUUUUGAAAAGGCUGGAGUUGUGACACAUGGUGGACUCGUGAAGUUCAUAUACCCGCCUGAAACUUCUCAUCGGGCAUGAAUUACUCUGUCCAAAGCAGUUUUUAUCGAACAUGCAUCACUCUCUCCUACAGGAUUUUUAUAUCGAGCUACCACAUGUAAGAGUGCUCCAUAUAAUAUGAAUAUCAAUCAACCAUAUCAAACGAUCUGCCAAAUCACAAUUUCGUGAAUCAUCACAGAAUGUAAGUACGGAUGAUCAUAUAUAUCAUGAGUAACAUAUGCCCCCAUGUGGCAAAGAAUCUGUACUAAAAAGUUAACUUAGGCAAUUCAAGUAUCACAAAUGUAUGAGAUACUCAGAGUGAUGCAUAAACAAACAAUCAAUUGAUCUGUAUAUAUCACCUGGUACCCGUAGGUGUUCGUCACCUCACCUAUAUGGUACCUCCUUAUCAUUAUUUACGAAAAUAUCUCUCAACCGGAGUCUAAAAAAUCUAAAACUUACCGCAAUAUGAAGCACCGUAAAUCAUAAAACAGUCUUCCCCUUUGUCAGUGCCUCUGAGCGCUCUCAAUCUAUCAAAUACGAGUUCUACAUAAGUAUUCGAGUCCAUUGAUACCCAUAUUGACAUAAAUGAACCAAUAAAAAAAUCAACUGCACAUCAUACUACCAGAACUACUAAACUCAUAAUAUUGCAAAUUUAUGCUUAAUAAGCAACUAUAUUUUUGGGAACCACACUAUUAUCAUCAUCAAAUUUCAACCAAAUAUUUUAGCUCAAAAUGCAGCUAAGGGCUCACAAGAAUUUAUAAUUAAGAGACCUUACUUCUUUUCAGAUACUUUCACGACCAUGGUUUUCUGCUGCUCCACCACAUUUGAUUUCUUCGACGGCAGUGAAAGUUCACCCUUAUCAUUCACUGAAGAACAUCAUCUUCUACAUUCUGUAAAUAGAAACUAGCUCCAUUAACACAAACAAUUGGAAAAAAAAAACAGUACUCCUCGACCCUCCCUCUCCCAAACCAAUAGAAAGGACCAAGAAUAGCAUUUUACAGCCAAAAAUAAUAAAAGGAGAAGACAAAAAAAUUUCCAAAUAGGUAUCUGACAAAUUACUUAUUCACUAUUCUACAUUCUGCAAAUAGGUUUAUUAAUGCAUACAAGUGAUAAAAUCAAUACCCCUCAACCUCCAUCUACCCACACCUAGAAAAGAUAAUCAGGAACCAACAUUUUGAGACCAAAUGGGAAAGAAAAAAGCAUCUUUCCAAAUGGAUAACUGUUGAACUACUUAUUUAUCUGCCUAAUUCCAAAGAUAGAAAAUAGGUCCACUUUUCAAUAAAUAUAAGUGAAAUAAUUACAUCAUUCAACCCCCAACCCAACACCAAAAUCACGAAACAACAUUACGAAGCAAAAAUAAGGGGAAAAAGACAAUAUUUUUCAAUUGGAUAUUUGAGAUCAGGUGAACUAUUGAGAAACAAACCAGAGUCAGAUGAGCCUUUGAGGUAUCUCAAUAAAUGUAAGGCAACUUGCAUGUGGGGAGCACAAGAAUGCUGCAUAAAAUGGCUCAAGUGUGUGUAAAGAAGUUUAGCUUGCCAAUCAAGAUCCUGUAAACUCAACUCUCUUUCACUACUCUCAACUCUCUCUUGAUUUUGAAAUGGUCAUGAAGAAAGGGCUUGAGAGCAUCUGUUUCAGUUAAAUCAGUGCUAGUGAGAACAAUAUCAUCCACAUAUACAACCCCUACAAUAAAAGAGUCCCAGACUCCAAAGGCUGAGAAAGCUUAACAUACCACUGUCUGGAAGCUUGUCUCAGACCAUAUAGACUCUUUUGUAAUAACAAACUGAAGGAUCAGAAAAAGAAGGGGGAAGAAGGAACCAAGAAUAGGAGGAAGUUUCAUAAAGACUUCCUCAUCCAAUUCACCAUGUAAGAAAGCAUUGUUGACAUCAAGCUGAAAGAGAGGCCACUGCUGUUUGAUGGCAACACCAAUUAGACACUUGACAUUGGACAUCUUAACAACAGGAGAAAAAGUGUUAUGAAAAUCAACUCCCUCAACCUGUAUCCCCCCUGACCACUAAUCUGGCUUUAUACCUCUCAAUGGUCCCUUCAGCCCUACAUUUGGCUUCUUUUUUUUUAGGCUGGUAACAUUAGUCUAUAGAUAUCCACAGGUAUACUACAACCAAAAGUGUAGUUCCCCUUCAAAAAAGUAUUAUAUCUUACAGAAUCUUUGACUUAAUCAGAUUGAUGCCUAUAAACAAUCUAGUACAUCAAAGAUGUCUUCUGUUCUAGCUAAAAUAUCUUGUUUACACCAAAAAUAGAAAAGAGCUAAGCAAUUCAUUCUAAUCUUCUGAAGGCUAUUCUGUACAUUCUCAAAGCUCCUAUUGUUCCUCUCUUUCCAAAUUGUCCACCAAAUGCAUGCUGGGACAAACUUUCAUCUCUCCUUCUUCUUUGAAGCAUUGUCAUCCCUAAUCCAGCUACUUAGAACUCCUUUGCUGCUUCCUGGUUUCACCCACGUAAUUCCUUUCAGGCAAAUGAACAUUCUCCAUGGUUGCUCAGUCCACUUACAGUGUAAAAAAAGAUAAUUGAUUGUCUCUGCUUGCUCUCGACACAGAGUACAUCUAGAGGCAAAUCGAUAUCCUCUUUUCUUCAAAUUUUCAUAGGUCAGAACUGCUUCUUUUGACAGCAACCACAAAAAGCAAUUCACUUUGUAGGGCACCUUUGGUUUCCAGAUCAUCCUCCAUGGCCAGUCCGUCUCUUGGUCUGCACUCUUGAGUGCCCUAUAUGCUGAAUUGACUGAGAAUUUACCAUGAAUGUCACUCUGCCAAACCAGUUAGUCCUUCUCCUCAGUAAGAUCGCUAAAAUUAUCUACUGAGUUCUGGAGUGCAAUUACCUUCUCUAUUUCCCAGUCAUUUAGGUGUCUCCUUAGGAACAAAUUCCAGCCUUGACCAAUCCACAUUGUGGCCACUGUUGCCUGUUUUUGUUGACAUAACAUGUAUAGUUCCGGAUGCAGUUGUUUCAUGGGUGUUGCUCCAUUCCAUUUGUCCUCCCAGAAGGAGGUUUUUUGACCAUCUCCCACUUUGAUUCUGGAUCUGAAAUACAACAUAGGCCACAGUUCAUGAUUGCUCUCCAUACAGUGCAGUUGUAUGGAGUGUUAACCACUUUUGUCAUCCACUUGUCCUCCAUGCCAUACUUUGCUAUGAUGACCUCCUUCCAAAGCAUAUGAUCUUCAUUGGCAAAUUUCCACAGCCACUUCAACAUGAGGCUUUGGUUUUGCUUCCUUAAGUGCCUGAUGCCUAGGUUACAUGUAUCCUUGUUCACUAUCAGUUCCUGCUAUUUAACUAGGUGGAACUUCUUUUCGUCUACACUCCCUUGCCAUAGGAAAUUUCUCCUAAGGGCAUCAAUGCUCUUAGAUACACUUGCAGGCAUUGGAAAUACUGACAUCAUAUAGGAAGGUAGUGCAUCAAGGACACUAUUGAUUAAAGUUAGUCUGCCUCCCAAGGAGAGAUACUGACUUUUCCAGUUGGUGAGUUUCUUUUCACAUUUCUCUAGGACCCCAUUCCAAAUACCUUUGGACUUGCUUUCAGCUCCCAGAGGCAUGCCAAGGUAGGUUGUUGUAAGUGCCCCAAUUUUGCCUCCGAGCUUACUAGCCAAUCUUUCCAUCCCUGUCACAGUGUUGAUAGGAUAGAUAAAGUUCUUUCCCCAAUUGAUAUGGAGUCCAGAGACUACCUCAAAAAUGACAAAAAUAAUCCUCAAAAUCAAGAUUUGGUCUGUUUUUGCUUUACAAAACACCAAUGUAUCAUCUGCAUAUUGAAGGUGAGUUACCUCCAAGUGCUUGGAAUCCUUUGAUCCAUCCUUUCCCUUUUGCUGUGUUGAUCAAGUUACUCAACCCUUCCAUGGCUAUAAUGAACAGAAAGGGAGAUAGUGGGUCUCCCUGUCUCAAUCCUCUUUGGGAAGCAAAAAAUCCAGUAGGUGCUCUGUUGAUUAGGAUGGAGAAUCUCACAGUGCCAAUACAAUGUUUGAUCCAGUUGAUCCAUUUAACUACAAAACCCAUUCUAACCAUUUACAACCAAUAGGUUUCUUACCACUAGGUAACCCCACAAUAGACCAAGUGUCAUUAUUAGCUAAUGCCUCAAACUCCUUACUCAUAGCCUCCUGACACUCAGGCACAGUAGCAGCUUGAGUGUAAGUGCAGGGUUAAAAAACAUGAUGCUGACUAAGAGUCUAAGACUAGAUGAUUCAAAAUGGGAGCAAUCAACAGACUUGAAAAGCAUUACAAAGAUACUACUGGAGGUAAACACGUUGAUGAAUGGCCUUAGUAGAUAUUCUAGGUGCAAGAAACGAAAGAGGAGCAGAGAAAGAAGAAAUGGGAGGAGUAGAAGAUGAAGGAAUGGAAGCAGCAGAAACAGGAGGAGAUGUAUGUGGACAUGAGGGAGAAAAGGAAUCUGAAGGAGGAUCAAAAGAAGGAAAAGAAGAAGCAACAUGAGUGGGGUCAUAAAAACAGAAAGAGAAAGGAAAAGGACAUAACUGAGAAGAUUUAGAAGACUGAAGAGAGUGAAAAGGUGUUCAUGGAAAAUAACAUCCCUGGAAAUAAACAAGCCUUGGUUUCUAGGUUAUAAAGCCUGUAACUUUUAUUGGCAAAAUGAUAGCCAACCAAGAUGCUAGGAAUAGCUCUAGGUUGAAAUUUAUCCCUAUGAGAUUAGGGAGUGGUAGAAUAACAAAGACAACCAAAAGUUCCGAGAUGAGCAUAAGUAGGUGGCUGCCCAUAGAGUAACUGAAAAGGGUUAUUGUGAUUCAGAAGAUGAGACGGGAAUCUGUUUAUGAGAUAUGUAGCGAGAAUGCCCAGAAUCUGAUAGGGAGGUGAUAUUAAAAAAAGUAAUUUCCUGGCAGUAAUCAGUAUCAAGUAAGUGUCUAGGCAUCCUCUCUACCACCUCAUUUUGUUGUGAGGUGUGUGAGCAGGAAAUCUCAUGCACAAUCCCUCUAUCAAGAAAAAAAAAAUUAGAACCAGAAAUAGAGCUCCCAAGUUAUAGUGCAUUGUCACUUCAGACAAUUUGGACUUUGGUAUGAAAUUAGGUGUCAACCAUGAAAACUAGGACCUUUAAGAUAUCAAAGGCAUUAACUUUGGCACCCAAUAAUGAGUCCAUGUUACCCUGGGGUAGUCAUCAAACAAUGGUCAAAAAGUAUCUUGGCUCAUCAUAGGUAGGAACAUGGAUGGCCCUCAUGUGUCAACAUGAAUCAGUUGGAAAGGGGUGGUAGUUUGUAUAGAGCUAUCAGGGAAAGGUAGUCUGGUUUGUUUGGCUAGAGAGCAAAUGGGCCAUGUGAAAUAUUGUUUAGAAGACAAAGAAGUACCAAAGCCCAGAAAUAUAUUUCAUUUUAGAGAAAUGCAUAUGCCCAAGUCUUUAAUGCCAAAUAAUAUCCACUUCAUUAAUAUCAGCCAAAUGUGCAUCGGAGCUAUGUUGCUCAGACUCGGGUGCAAGUACCCGAAACGGAUGCGGAUCUGAGAGUCAGAUUUGGCAAAAGCUAAAUUUUAAGAUUCAAGGUUACGAAUCCUAGUAUAAAUACAGGACCAGGAAUUAGGCUAAAAAUUAAGCAUUAUAAAAAUAGUGUUAUAAAGAUAUUCUAAAUUUGAGAGAUAUUUUGUAGAAUUCAAUCUUUUAUUUAUCCUAGUCUUAUCUCUUAACGAAUUAUAAAGCUAAAAAAUUAUAUGUAGAUGACACAUAUUGAGAUUUGCUGUCCCAGUGAAUACUAGUCCAACGAAGUGCAGAAUACUGAUUAUACAAACAAAGUCCCAUGAAAGGUAAAAUGUCAUUAAAAGUGGUCAGGCCCAAAUGUCGAAAUAAUUUUAGUUGCAACAUGCAGGCCCAUAUAAAUCUUUAAAAAACCCUAGUUUCAUAUAUUCUGUUUCAUUCACAGUUCACACGCCACUGCCUCUACGAAAUACAUCAAAACACCAACCCUAGCUCACAUACUCCCUCUCUGCCAAAAUGCAGCCGACGUUCGAUCCAUCUCAGAUCGUCGAGGUUUCUGUCCGAGUCACCGGAGGUGAAGUCGGAGUGGCAAGUUCACUCGAUCCAUCACAGAUCGUCGAAGUCUUUCCCAAAGAAAUUUAUCGACUCUAGUCAAAGUAUCCGUAUGGGAUUGACCGGAUCUGACAUGCACCUCGCACCCACAUCCACCCCAGUGUUGCGUCGAGAUGGGUUUGGCAGUAAAAUCGAACAGUCCACACAACAUAACAUCAGAGGCUACAUUUUUAUACUCAUGUGAAACAUCUAUGCCAGGAACAGUUGAGGCAAGAGAAGAAAACACAGUUCAAAAAGUAUUAGAAGAGAUAGAAGGGAGAACAGUAGAGAUUAAGAAGAAAUACUAGGAACAAAACUGCAAGGAAUAUGAGAAAGCUUGUACAGUCCACACUCUGGUCUACCAAAAACAAUAUUUGGUGAAGGGCCUCUAAAGUGCAACCAAAUUGGUGAACUGAACAAUAUUUCCAGAAGGUUCAACAAGUUUUGAAUCAGAAAUGAGGUUAUGCUAAAAGUUAGGAAUGUAUAAUACAUUGUACAAAGUAAGAUCAGGAAACAGUGUUAACGAGCCAAUGUUAGAGACUUUAACUUUGUAUCCAUUUAGAAAUGAAACAAGACAAGGAAUAGGUAAUGUUACCUGUAAAGUUAGCAGAUGCUAUGAGGAUUAGUGAGUGGUGAAAGAUGAGAGUGCUGCAAGUGGGACAGUAUGUGGAAGUACUGAUCUUUAGUCAGACUAGCAACAGUGACUGGCAGGUUAGAAACACCAGAUAAACCAGAAUCUCAGAUUAUGCACCUGUAUGACCAGGACCAGAAGUCUCAAAUUAAGCAUGUGCUGCUGUCUUCCUUGGACCAGUAUUCUUAGGGUCACCAGUAUUCUCUGUGAACUUCAAAUGAGAAGGAUAAUAGUUUAGUCUGUAACAUUUCUCAAUGGUGUGAUUCGUUUUGCAAUACAAAAGAAAAGAGGUUGGGAUAGAUCAAAGGAGACUUUAGACAGGAACUGUGGUUUGGAGACUCUAGAGGUGAAAGAAGCAGAAUUGGAUCCCAAAUGAGAAGUAGAGGAGACUUGUCUCUGUUUCUAUUCAACCAACAAGGAAGUGGUUUCAUCAUAAGAAGUUACGAACAAUCCUUCUCACUUGUAGAUAAGUCUAAUUGAGUCCCAUUAAAAAUGGAAAAAACCUUUUGUUCCUCUUCAACCUUCCUGUUACCACCACAAGUACACACGGUCAAAUGAUUUGCAGAAAUAGAAUAUCUCAUCCCAAAGCUUUGUGAUUUUGUUGUACUAUGUAGCAAUGUAUAAAGAUACUUGAGAAAUGUCGACGAGUUCUUCUUAAGCUCAAAAACUCUAGUACCAUCAGUCUUACCAUAUCUUUCUUCCAAUUCAUUCCAAAUAUCUCUAGCAAGUUCAAAUAGUCAACACGCUGAGAAAUUCCUUUGAUGAGGAAAUUAGCUAACCAGGUUCCUAUUAAGUCAUUGUAACAUUGCCAUUGUGUAGACAAAUGAGAGUCAUCAGGAGGUCUAGUUGAAGUUCCAGUGAUGAAACCCAACUUGUUUCGAACAGAUAAAGCUACUAAUAUUAUACGUCUCAAACUACUAUAACAAGAACAAUCAAAGGAUCAGAAACCAAAGAAACCCCCCAAAACAUCAGAUGGAUGAGCAUAAAGAAGAUGGCAUGGAUGCAUAUAAUCAAUCCUUGGGGUGAAAUACAACACUUUCGUGUUUUACUUGAUUUCCGCUUUAUGAUGACAAAAUUAAUUGAGUGAUAUUUGGGGUUUGCCUAUGGGAGGGUAAGUGCCUUCAUGGCUAGCUUGUACUUUUGGGUCAUGACAAUUUGGUAUCAAAGCAUGGUUCACAGGUCUCAUGAAUACAAGAUCAACGUCUAGUAGAGUCUUGCAAAUUGUUAUAAAGACGUUUGUUCUUGUCUUCGAGAGGCUACAUGAUAUCAAGAAAAUUUCUAUUCCACCAUUCCUUAUCAAGCAUAGAGGUUCUGUGCAUUUGCAGCUGGAGGAUAGGAGCCUACACCGACACCUACUGCCAGGGUCGUGGAAGGUGGUAGAGCCAGAGCCCUAGUCGCAAUGCUAGUGAGAGGUAGAACAUUGACAGUUGCUCAGGGCCAUGCUCAACCAGUGUCCCCAAAUAUUUAUGAUAUUCUAGAUAAUGAGACGAUUCCAUCUGGAUUUAUUGCUAUGCUAGUACUUCAAGACACUCUUGUCGACAUGCUUGGAUUUCUUGAGGGAUGGUGUAGGUGAAUAUUCUACUAGUCACACCAGAUGGCUCAUAGACCAGGAUGGGAGGUUAGAUUCCUAAUCAUAUGACUGCUCCAAUGUUCCAUCCUCCCGGGGCUGUGGGUUUACAUGCACGUUCUUAUCGCUAUCGUUACCUCUAACCCAAAAUGAGUGAAAUGACAGUGGUGAUUUUGCUCUUUUGUUUUUCAUUGUUCUAACAUGUUAAACCAACUCUGAAGGUCAUUGUAAUGGUAUGCUUAGUGUGCUUGAACCUUCUGCAACGUAUCUCUUUUUGUUGAUCGAUUGGAUGAGAUAGAACAUGAUUCAUGAAUUCUCGAUAGCCUCUACAAUUUUGGGACAUAGAGGACAUUGGAGUAGCAAGAGAUGAGUCGACAUUUCAUAAACCAAAAUUGAAAUGGAAACAGCAUCAACAAUAUUAUUAAUUGUGGUCAAACAACAUAAAAAUAUAACCUAAAACGGUCAAUUCACCUAUUUGAUUUGUUUGGAGUAAUAAGAUGAGAUUGAAUUGUGUAUAUCAACUCUUCUUUUUCUUUGGAUUAAUUGUCCUUAUCAACUCUUAAAACUGUAUGAAGAAUUUAUAGGCCAGUACUCACCUUCACACUUGUAGAUUUCACAUAUCUUGUUAUGGUAACCAAAGAAUUCAACUUUUGAUUGCAAAGCUAUAACUUUUGAAAAAGAUGCCAUCACAAGACAUGUGAAAUCUACAAUUCUGAAGGUGAGCAAUGGCCUAUAAAUUCUUCAUACAAGUUUUCAGAGUUGAUAUGCACAAUUUAAUCUCAUCUAAUCGCUCCAAACAAAUCAAAUAGGUGAAGUUGACCUUUUUUUAGGUAUAUUUUUUUUAUGUUCUUUGACUUAAAAUAAUAAUCAUGUUGAUGUUGUUUCCAUUUCAAUUUUGUUUUACAAAAUGUCAGCUCAUCUCGCGCUGCUCCAAUGUCCUCUAGGUCCCAAAAAUUUUCAUGGCUAUCAAGAAUUCAUGAAUCAUGUUAUAUCUCAUCUAGUAGAUCUACAAGAAGAAACAUAUGCUGCAGAAGGUUCAAACACACUAAGUGUACCAUUACUAAAACCUCUAGAGUUUGUUCAACUUGUAAGAACCAUGAGAAACAAAAGAGCGAAAUCACAAUCACCACCCCCACCAUUGGCAUUUCAUCCAUUCUGGGUUAGAGGUAAUGGUGUGGUAAAAAUGUGCAAGUAAACCAACAGCUACCACCUACGUCACCGCCACCACCAUCAUCACAUCCCGCCCGAUCGGUUCGACGUAAAGAAGAUGGAAGAGGUGAGCAUACAAACCAACAACUACUAGCACCUCCACCGCCCUCAGAUCAUAUGCUAAUUCAAUCAAAGGUAUCAAUGAUGGCAGACGUGUGCAUACAAAUCAUCAGAUACCACCACUACCACAAGCAUAUCAUCCUCCCUCACUUAGAGAAAAUGCUUAUGGCGAAGGUGUACAAGCAAAUCAACAGCUACUACCACCACCACCCUCAUAUCAUGCCAACUCAAUUAGAGGUAACAUUGAUGGCAGAGGUGUGCAUACACACCAACAUAUACCACCACCACCACUAUCACAUCGUCUUCCUUCACUCGGAGGAAAUGAUUAUGGAGAAGGCGUAUAUGCAAACUAGAGGCAACAAAUGUUUCAAUCGACAAGAACGGCCUAUGUCUGAGGUUCAAAUUCAAUAGCUAUUAACCAAAAUGAAGAUGUCCCUAUUUUGGAUAAAUCUUAUCCAUCUGAGUCGAAACUCGAACCUCAAUUAGUUUGUGAUAAUGAAACUAGUGGGCUGGAUCUAGCAUUAAGGCUUUAAAGCCAAGAGUAUCCAUGCUUAAACCAUUUGCGGUGUUUUCUAUCAAAAAUUGUCUAAAUCACCAAUUGCUUAGAUGUUCUUUUAAGUAUUCUCCUUAUUUAUAAAGUUGUGUUCCCCCUGAAUUCUAAUAGAACUUUUCUGUGUCAUUUAACUUUUUUUGCGUAAUCACGAUAUACUUAAAUCUAAUAUCACAUCUAUUGGUACCAUUUAUUUAGAAUUUUGUAGCUCACAUAAUUUUUUCCGAGAACAUAUAAAAACACCAAAUAGAAGCCGCCAUGAUCUAUGUCAGAUGUAAGGUGUUAGUAUGCAUACAUACAACCCUCUCCAAAUCCCACUUGUGGGAUUACAUAGAGUAUGAUGUUAUUGUUGUUCUUUUAAGUAUUAUCCCCAUUGCACAAAAAUUUACACGUCUAACAACCUUUAAACAACUCAAAUAUGUAUCGACUGAAAUUAGACUUUAAUAAUUUCAUGCCUAAAAUUGUUUCGAAGUGAUUAGAAGUGCAAUUUUUUUUUAAAAAAGUACAAGCUAAAUAGUGGUGUCCAAAUAAAGUACUCACAAAAUUGAGUCACAUGACACAUGACAUAUUUUGGAUAUUGAAAUGAAAUAACACUAAUAGAUUUUAGUCUUGAAACCAAUUAUAUGCAGUAAAUUACACUUAAUGACAUGUCUUGAAGCCCCAUGGGCAAACAUUUCAAGGUGAAAAGUCAUAACUAAAGUUUAGUCCAUGGGACAAGCAAGGUCAAAAGUUCAAGAUUAGUCACCUCCAAUGUCAUUCUCAAGAAUCACUCAAUCAAGUGGGUCAGAUUUUGCCAAGUCCAACUUAAUGGCCAAGAUAAAAUAUGACUUUAAAUUUUAUUGAGAAAAGACAUAAAGUCACCACUGAAGUUGUUUCGAAUUUUAAAAAAGACACCUUAACUUUGCAACCGUCCUAUUACCCCACUAAACAAUUAUGAAUUGAUACUAUUAUAUCAUUUUUCGAUCAGCCCCAGAUUUUAAGAAGCAAGUGUGUUCACACACCAAUCAUUACAUGACACUUGUUAAUUUAAUAAAAAAAAAAUUCAUUUCAAGUUUUUUUUAUCUCUCUUAAUUUUUGACUUAUUUUAAUUUUGAUUUCAUCUUCCACCACCCACUUUCAAACUGAUCCAUCCCUCCAUUUUCGUUCUUUUUCUUCACCUUCCACCCUCACCCCACCCCCACGUCAAGUUGAACCCCUCUCCCUUUUUUUUCUUUUCUUUUUCUUCUUCUUCUCCAAUCAUAUUCUUUAUUUCAGUGAGUUUUUUAUAAAAAAGAAAUCAUACUAUUUAUUAGACUUUAUUGAAUUAUUGAUAACAAAAUUAAUUAUUUUUCUAAGAAAAUUUAAAAUUUUGAAGGUAUCAUCAAUUACUCCUUUUCAUAUAACUUCAAAAUUAAAAAUGAUAAUUUUAAAAGAAUCAAUAAAUUCCCCAAAAAUUGAAAGAACUUGAUUGAAAUAGGAUAAAAAAAAACUAUAUGAUACGCCCCCAAGGCCUAGCUCAAGUGGCAAAAGGUGGAGGAUUUGUGGCUUAGGUCGCAGGUUCAAGCCCCACACCAUGCAAAGCGAAGCCCGGUAUUUAAGUGGAGAAGGGUAGAGGGGCGGGCCCAUUAUCCACCGAGUUUAGAAGGCUGUGAUUGGUCCAAAGGACGGAUCACAGACGGAUUUCUCGGUUAUAAAAAAAAAAACUAAAAAAAAAACUAUAUGAUACCUCCUAAUCAUCUUGAAAUCAUAUGGGUUUAUCAAAUUGUUCGAAAUGUAAUAAAAUAUUUAGAUAAAGUUUUAAAAUUAAAAAGAGUAAAACUAAUAGUAGUAAAAAAAGGAAGGUGAAGUUACGAUAAAAAUGGUGACAUUGAAAGUGAGAAGAUUCAAUGGAGAUGACAAUAAAUUUUUGAAUAAGAAAGAAGAAAGAAAGAGAAAUAAUAAUAAGGAAAAGAAGUUAAAAUAAUAAGAAAAUAUAUUUUAUAAUAAAAUACUUGUAAAUAUAAAAUUAUAUUAGUUAUUUUAGGUUGCUCACUCUCUUUUGAGAGAGUCCACACACUAGUUCAAGAUUAUUUAGUGGGGUAAUAGGACGCCCGCAUAGUUAAGGUGUCUUUUUGAAAAUUCGGGACAAGUUCAGGUGUCACUCUAUGUCUUUUCUCAAUUUUAUUUAAAUACUAGAUGUGUAAUCGCAUGUGUAAGCAUAAGUCCGACAAUACAAAUCUUUUGUACCUCUUUUUUCUUUGAACUAAUUCAAUUAGGAUUUCUGCUACAUAUGUUUUAAUGAAAAACUAAGAACAAAGAACAACAUACAAUAAGUGCUAAACUGAUUAUCCUCUUUUUAACUUGACACAACAAUAUAUCUUGAUACUCGCACAGAGUAAGCCUUAAGUAAUGGAUACAAUUUACUCUUUGCACCAUUUAACAACUAGGUCUCUUCUAUUUCUUUAUGGACCAACAUAUUGAUACGGCUCAAUACAAAUGGGCUUCUCCUAGCUGUGUUUCUAGACCGGAGAAGCGAUUUACAUAACAUAUUAAUUGGGAUAAAGAUGGUCAAAUUGUUGACACACCUUUUAUGGAAUUACACUUAGCAAUCCAAAAACAUUGUUAGCACGCACAUCCUACAACAUGUCCCCUGCCACUCCGCCACCCACCCCUAUCCCAACCCUAACCCCCAAAAUAGUACAAAAAAAUAAAAGAAAAAUACAAAAGAGGAAAAAUAUUAUAUCACAAUGUUUAAAAAAAAUUGACAAAUAAUAGAAAAAAACAUAAAUAACAUUCCAAUUAACAAUAAAUAUAAAAAUCAAAGAAAUAUAAAAAUAUAAGGACAAUAGUAUGUCCAAAAUGGAAAAAAUAUCAAUAACUUCCAAAUUUUGGUUGCAGUAACAUUUUUUUUUUUGAUAACCGGGAAAUCCGUCUGUGACCCACCCUUUGGACCAAUCACAGCCUUCUAAACUCGGUGGAUAAUGGGUCUGCCCCUCUACCCUUCUCCACUUAAAUACCAGUCUUCGCUUUGCAAGGUGUGGGGCUUGAACCUGCGACCUAAGCCACAAAUCCUCCACCGUUUGCCACUUGAGCUAGGCCUUGGGGGUGUGUUGUAACAUUUGAAAAAGUUACCAUAACAAGACGUGAAAUUUACAUUUCUAAAGGUGAGCACUGGCCUACAAAUUCUUCGUACAGUUUUCAGAGUUUAUAUGUACAAUUCAAUCUCAUUUAAUCGCUCCAAACAAAUCAAAUGGGAGAAGUUGACCUUUUUAUUAGGUAAACAAUAUCCACUUCAUUAAUAUCGGCCAAAUGUGCAUCAGAGCUAUGUUGCUCGGACUCGGGUGCGGGUACCAAAAUGAGUGCGGAUCCGAGAGUUGGAUUCGACAAAACCUAAAUUUUAAGAUUCGGGGGUACGAAUCCUAGUAUGGAUACGGGUGCGGGGAAUCGGUUAAAAAUUCAACACUAUAAAAAUACAGUUAUAAAGAUAUUCUAAAUUUGAGAGAUAUUUUGUAGAAUUCAAUUUUUUAUUUAUCCUAGUCUUAUCUCCUAACCAAUUAUAAAGCUUAAAAUUUAUAUGUAGAUGAUACAUAUUGAGAUUUGUUGUCCCAAUGAAUUUUUACGCUACACACUAGUCCAACAAAGUGCCGAGUACUGACUAUACAAACAGUAGGCCCAUGAAAGGUAAAAUGUUAUUAGAAGUGGUUAGACCAAAUGUUGAAAUAAUUUUAGUUCCAACAUGCAGGCCCAUAUAAAUCGUUGAAAAACCCUAGUUCAUAAAUUUUGUUUCAUUCACAGUUCACACGCCAAUGCCUCUAUGAAAUCCACCAAAACCUCAACCCUAGCUCACCUACUCCCUCUCGGCCAAAAUGCAACCAACGUUCAAUCCAUCUCAGAUCGUCGAGGUUUCUUUCCGAGUCACCGGAGGUGAAGUCGAAGUGGCAAGUUCACUCGAUCCAUCUCAAAUCAUCGAGGUCUUACCCCAAAUUUUUUCUCGACUAUAGUAAAAGUAUUUGUAUGGGAUUGACCAAAUCUGACACGCACCUCGCACCCACACCAGCCCCAGUGUCACGUCGAGAAGGAUUCGGCAGCAAAAUCGAAGAGUCUGCAACAUAGCAUCAGAGGCUACAUUUUUAUACUCGUGUGAAAAAUCUAUGCUAGGAACAGUUGAGACAAGAGAAGAAAACACAGUUCAAGAAGCAUUAGAAGAGAUAGAAGGGAAAACAAUAGAGAUUUAGAAGAAAUACUAGGAGCAAAACUGCAAGGAAUAUGAGAAAGUUUGUACAGUCCACACUCUGGUCUACCAAAAAUAAUAUUUGGUGAAGGGCCUCUAAAGUGCAACCAGAGUUGGUGAACUGGACAAUAUUCCCAAAAGGUUCAACAAGUUUUGAAUCAGAAAUGAGGUUAUGCUAAAAGUUAGGAAUGUAUAAUACAUUGUACAAAGUAAGAUCAGGAAACAGUGUUAACGAGCCAAUGUUAGAGACUUUAACUUUGUAUCCAUUUAGAAGUGAAACAAGACAAGGAAUAUGUAAUGUUUUAACAUAGAAGAGUAAAGAAAGGUUAGAUCGAUGUCGUGAUCUAAUGCUCCAGAAUCUAUAGUCCAAAUGGUAUCACUAAUCUUAGUAAGUAAAUAAGUUUUGAACAAAUCAACAUGUAAUGUUAGCAGAUGCUAUGAGGAUUACUGAGUGGUAAAAGAUGAGUGUGCUGCAAGUAGGACAGUAUGUGGAGGUACUCAUCUUUAGUCAGACUAGCAACAAUGACUGGCAGGUUAGAAACACCAGAUAAACCAGAACCUAAGAUUGUGCCCCUGUAUGACCAGGACAAGAAGUCUCAAAUUCAGCAUGUGCUGCUGUCUUCCUUGGACCAGUAUUCUUAGGGUCACCAGUAUUCUCUGAACUUUAAAUGAUAAGGAUAAUAAUUUAGCCUGUAACAUUUCUCAGUGGUGUGAUUUGUUUUGCAAUACAAAACAAAAGAAGUUGUGAUGAUCAAAGGAGACUUUGGACAGGAACUGUGCUUUGGAGACUCUAGCAGUGAAAGAAGCAGAAUUGAAUCCAAAAUGAGAAGCAGAGGAGACUUGUAUCUGUUUCUAUUCAACCAACAAGGAAGUGAAUUCAUCAUAAGAAGUUAAGAACAAUCCUUCUCACUUGUAGAUAAGUCUAAUUGAGUCCAUUAAAAACGGAUAAACCUUUUGUCCCCUUCAACCUUCCUGUUACCACCGCAAGUACACACGGUCAAAUGAUUUGCAGAAAUAGAAUAUCUCAUCCCAAAGCUUUUUGAUUUUGUUAUAGUAAGUAGCAAUGUAUAAAGAUACUUGAGAAAUGCCUACGAACUCUUCUUAAGCUAAAAAAUUCUAGUAACAUCAGUCUUACCAUAUCUUUCUUCCAAUUCAUUCCAAAUAUCUCUAGCAAGUUCAAAUAGUCAACACGCUGAGAAAUUCCUUUGGUGAGGAAAUUAGUUAACCAGGUUCCUACUAAGUCAUUACAACAUUAAGUCAUUGCAACAUUGCCAUUGUAUAGACAAAGGAGAGUAAUCAAGAGGUCUAGUUGAAGUUCCAGUGAUGAAACCCAACUUGUUUCAAACAGAUAAAGCUACUAAUACUAUACGUCUCAAACUACUAUAACAAGAACAAUCAAAAGGAUCAGAAACCAAAGAAACCCCCAAAACAUCAGAUGGAUGAGCAUAAAGAGGAUGGCAUAGAUGCAUAUAAUCAAUCCUUGGGGUGAAAUACAACACUUUCAUGUUUUACUUGAUUUCGCAUUAUGACUUAAAAUGAAUAGAGUAAUAUUUGGGGUUUGCCUACGGGAGGGUAAGUACCUUCAUGGCUAGCUUGUACUUUUGGAUCAUGACAAUUUGGUAUCAGAGCAUGGUUCACAUGUCUCAUGAAUACAAGAUCAAUGUCUAAUACAGUCUUGCAAAUUGUUAUAAAGACAUUUGUACUUAUCUUUGAGAGGCUACAUGAUAUUAAGAAAAUUUAUAUUCUACCAUUCCUUAUCGUGCGUAGUUUACUUUAUCAAAUUAUAAAUCUCUUAGUUUCACUCUUCUACAGAUGGUGAGGAUCUGUGCAUUUGGAGCUGGAGGCCAAGAGCCUACACCGACACCUAUUACCAGGGUUGUGGAAGGUGGUAGAGUCGGAUCCCUAGUCGCAACACUAGUGAGAGGUAGAGUAUGAUAAUUGCUCAGGGUCGUGCUCGACCAACGUCCCAAGAUAUUUAUGAUAUUCUAGAUAAUGAGACGAUUCCACCUGGAUUUAUUGCUAUGCUAGUACUUCAAGACACGCUUGUCCAUAUGAUUGGAUUCUGUGAGGGAUGGCGUAGGCAGAUAUUCUACUAGUUACACCAGAUGGCUCGUAGACUAGGAUGGGAGGUUAGAUUACUGAUCAUAUGACUGCUCUAAUGUUCCAUCCUCUCGGGGUUGUGGGUUUACAUGCACGUUUGUAUCGCUAUCAUUACCUCUAACCCAAAUGAGUGUAAUGACAGCGGCGUCGGUGGUGAGUUUGAUUCUGCUCUAUCGUUUUUCAUGUUUCUUACAUUUUUAACCGACUCUGAAGGUCUUGGUAAUGGUAUGCUUAGUGUGCUUGAACCUACUGCAGCGUAUGUCUCUUUUUGUUGAUCUAUUGGAUGAGAUAGAACAUGAUUCAUGAAUUCUCGAUAGCCUCUACAAUUUUGGGACAUAGAGGACAUUGGAGUAGCGAGAGAUGAGUCGACAUUUCAUAAACCAAAAUUGAAAUGGAAACAGCAUCAACAAUAUUAUUAUUUGUGGUCAAACAACAUAAAAAUAUUACCUAAAAAAUGGUCAACUCAACUAUUUGAUUUGUUCGGAGUGAUUAGAUGAGACUGAAUUGUACAUAUAAACUCUAGAAACUAUAUGAAGAAUUUAUAGGCCCGUACUCAUCUGCAAACCUGUAGAUUUCACAUAUCUUGUUAUGGUAACCAUAGAUUUCCCCUUUUGGUUGCAAAGCUACAACUUUUGAAAAAAUUACCAUAACAAAACAUGUGAAAUCUAUAGUUUUGAAGGUGAGCAAUGGCCUAAAAAUUCUUCAUACAAGUUUUCAGAGAUGAUUGCUCCAAACAAAUCAAAUAGGUGAAAGUUGACCUUUUUUUAAGGUAAAUUUUUUAUGUUGUUUAACAUUGUUGAUGUUGUUUCCAUUUCAAUUUUGUUUUACAGUAUGUCAGUCAUCUUGCGCUUGUUGUUUUGUUACUACGUUACACUUCUUUUUUAUUUUUGCUUGUAGUAACUAGUAAAGUUGAUCCUUUUGUGAUUUAAUUAUGUUUUUGCUUUAUAUGUUAUGACUUAGGAUUAUUGACUUUACUUUUAAUCUAAGAAUAUAUUACCUCUAUUUAGUUAUUUAAUAUUUAUUUAUUUUUAUACUAAAUACCGCCUUACUUUAAAAAAGCACGUGCUUCGCUUCUCGCUUCAGUGAAGCGAGCCCUCAUCGCUUUUUUCCGCUUCUCGCUUCCCAAAACACUGCCCCACACACACACAUCCCAUCGGCAUUUCAUCCAUUCUGGGUUAGAGGUAAUGAUAGUGGUAAAAAUAUGAGAGUAAACCAACAACUAUCACCUAUGUCGCUGCCACCACCACCAUCUCACAUCCUGCCCGUUCAGUUCGACGUAAAGAAGAUGGAAGAGGUGAGCAUACAAACCAACAGCUACUAGCACCUCCACCACCCUCAUAUCAUGCUAAAUCGGUCAAAGGUAUCAAUGAUGGCAAAGGUGUGCAUACAAACCAUCAGAUACCACCACCACAAGCAUAUCGUCUUCCCUCACUUAGAGAAAAUGCUAAUGGCGGAGGUGUACAAGCAAACCAGCAGCUACUACCACCACCACCACCCUCAUAUCGUGCCAACUCAAUUAGAGGUAACAACGAUGGCAAAGGUGUGCAUACAAACAACAUAUACCACCACCUUCAUAUUGUUGAUGAGCAUAAAGUGCAAUGGACAAAGUUUGGAUGUCCAUUAUGAUGGGACAAAUGGACGGCACGAAAUGGUAAAAUGAUCAUCAAUAUUUUGAUGAAUUCUCCAAUCGGUAGUGUAUUUCUUGGUUCUAUUGAUGCUAGCAAUGAAUCUACCGAUUCCAACCAAAAUGUACAAGUUGUUUGAAAGCACUAUUGAAAGAAUUGGACCGGGAAAUGUUGUACAAAUUGUCACCGAUAAUGCUAGUGAGAAUGUUAAAGCGAGAAGCAUGAUGAUGGGUGCGUACCCACACAUUUAUUGGACUCCAUGUGCCGCUCAUUGCAUCAACUUGAUGUUUGGUGACAUAUUCAAGGUUAAGCCAUAUGCUUCCGGUAAUAUCACUCUCCUAUCCUCUAACUUUCUUUAUAGUCAAUAUUUAAUACUCAUUAGCUACUAAUUACUAUAAUCUUACUUUAACAGUUUUUAAGAAGGCCAUCAGAAUCCAUUCCUACAUUAGUCAAAGGCCAUUGUUGUUAAACUUGAUGAGAAAAUUCACCAAGGAAAGAAAUUUGGUGAAACCGGCCAAGAUAAGAUUUGCAACGGCCUUCUUGACUUUAAGAGCUAUGUGCAUACAAAAGAAAAAACUUGAGAACUUUAGUCCUCUCAACCGAAUGGACUUCAAGUAAAUUUGCAAAGGAAACUUUGGGGAAAGAAGUUGACAAUCUUAUUAUUUCUGCCCACUUUUGGGAUGAUGUUGUUCGAGCACUUACAAUUUGUGGCCCUUUGACAAAAGUGCUUCGUUUGGUGGAUGGGGAAGAAAAAACCACCAAUGGGCUAUAUUUAUGAAGCAAUGGAUAGAGCCAAAGAAACUAUUGCACAGGGUUUUCGUGGAGUUAAGAAGCAAUAUGAGAAAGUGUUUGAAAUUAUUGAUGCAAGGCGGUCAGACCAACUCCAUCGGCCUUUGCAUGCUGCAGACCAUGUUUUGAACCCAGGAUUGUAUUAUAAAGCUCAAGAAGAGGGAACUUUACUACAGAGUCUAUGGACUGCGUAUUAUGCAUGUGUUGAGAAGAUGAUCCUCGAUACAGCAAUACAAGAUUUACUAGUCACUGAGCUUCCUAGGUACAAAAUGGCGGAUGGACUAUUUGGUUGUGGUCCAACUAAAAGAGCUAGAGACACAAGGUCACCGGGUAAGUGAGUUGAUUUAGCUCUUACCUAAAUUAUUCAACUUAUUUAUACUCAUUAACCUUUUAAUGUAUUUUAUUAUAGUGGAAUGGUGGUCACUAUUUGGUAGUGAAACACCAAACUUGCAAAAGUUUGCCAUGAAAGUAUUAAGCCUAACUUGUAGCUCAUCUGGAUGUGAGCGAAAUUGGAGUGUGUUUGAACACGGAAGUAAAAAAAAUUAUAUCCUAAUUUCCAUAUUAUAUUAUUAUCAAUAUGUAUUAGUUAAUAUCUAGAACUUAUGUGCAGAUUCAUUCCAAAAAGAAGAAUAGGCUUGCACUAUCGCGUCUCAAUGAUCCAGUGUACAUUAAGUACAAUACAACAUUGAAACGUCGUUAUGAUGCUCGUGAUCUCAUUGAUCCAAUUCACUUGGAUAACAUUGAUGAUUCAAAUGAAUGGUUAGUUGGAUGCCCCGAAGAUCAAGAAAAUGAACUAGUAUAUGAGGAUGAUGAUCUUACUUGGGGUAGUGUUGCUACGACAAUUGGAGCUGAUGAGAGUAUCUAUCAUCUUAGGGGACUUUCUUCAAGAUCAAAAGUACUUGACCAGGGCAAAGGAGUAGAAACUACAUCUACAAGUUCAACUUCAAGUAGGACUCGAACACUAAUUGAUGAAGAUUACGAGGAGGAAGAAGAUGAGAAGCAAUAUAAUGAUGUAGAGGAUGUUGAUCUUCAAGAGUUGGAUAGUUUUGAAGAAGAAUAGACUUUUAGAGUUCUAGUAUAUGUUAUUGACUUAUUGCUAUUGAGAUUUUGGAUAUUUAUAUAUGCAAUUAAAUAUUUUUAAUUUUUGGUAUUAAUUGGCGCCUCGAUUCAAAAAGGCGAGCGGCGAGUCGCCUCUCGCCGUCCAAAACACUGGUCUGAAUCACCAAUUGCUUAGAUGUUUUUUUUAGGUUUUCUCCUUAUUUAUAUAGUUGUAUUCCCCUAGAAUUCUAAUAUAACUUUUGUUUGUGUCAUUGAUUUUUUUUGUGUAUUCACGAUAUACUUAAAUCUAAUAUCACAUCUAUUGGUACAUUUAUUUAGAAUUUUGUAGGUCACAUAAUUUUUUCCGAAAACAUAUAAAAACAUCAAAUAGAAGCCAUCAUGAUCUAUGUCAAAUGUAAGGUAUUAGUAUGCAUAAAUACCACCCUCUCUAGAUCUCACUCGUGGGAUUACAUAGAGUAUGUUGUUGUUGUUGUUCUUUUAAGUAAUAUCCGCAUUGCAUAAAAAUUUACACGUCUAACCACCUUUGAACAACUCAAAUAUGUAGCGAUUGAUAGAAGACUUUACUAAUUUCAUGUCUAAAAUUGUUUUGAAGUGGUUAGAAGUGCAUAAAAAAAUUUAGUGUUGUAGUGUUGUAACAUUUUAAAAUGUUGUAGUGUUGUAACAUUUUAAAAAGUUACCAUAACAAGACAUGAAAAUUUACAAUUCUAAAGGUGAGCACUGACCUAUAAAUUUUUCAUACAAUUGUCAGAGUUGAUAUGCACAAUUCAGUCUCAUUUAAUCGCUCCAAACAAAUCAAAUAGAUGAAGAUGGCCUUUUUAUUAGGUAAUUUUUUUAUAUUGUUUGACCACAAAUAAUAACAUUGUUGAUAUUGUUUCCAUUUCAAUUUUGUUUUACAGAAUGUCGACCCAUAUCUUGCUACUCCAUCACCUACUACCACCACCACCACCCUCAUAUCGUGCCAACUCGAUUAGAGGUAGCAACGAUAGCAAAGGUGCGCAUACAAACCAAUAGAUAACACUACCACCACCACCAUAUCGUCCUCCUUCACUUAGAGGAAAUGAUAAUGGCUAAUGUGUGCAUGUAAACUAGAGGCAACAAAUGUUUCAUUCAACAAGAAUGACCUAUUACCGAGGUUCAAAUUCAAUAGUUAUUAACCAAAAUGUACCUAUUUUGGAUAGAUCAAAGCCAUGAUCCAUUUGAGAUGAAAUUUGAACCUCAAUUAGUUUGUGAUAACGAAACUAGUGUUCUAGAUCUAACCUUAAAACUUUAAAGCUAAAAGUAUCCAUGCUUAAACCAUUUGCUUCUUUUUUAUUAAAAAUUGUCUGAGCGAUCAAUUGCAUUGAUGUUUUUAAGCUUUCUCGUGUUUUACAGUGUUGUAUUCACUUUUCCCUAUAAACUAAAAUCUAAUAUCAUAUCUAGUGGUACCAUUUAUUCAGAAUUCUGUAGGUCACAUGAUUUUCUUCUAAAACAGAUAAAAACACCAAAUUGAAGCCACCAGCAUCUAUGUCAGACAUAAGGUGUUAGUAUGCGUACACACCACCCUCUCCAGACUCCACUUGUGGGAUUACAUUGAGUAUGUUUUUGUUCAUUUAAGUUAUAUCCGCAUUGCAUAAAAAUUUACAAGUCUAACCACUUUUGAACAACUCAAAUAUGCAUUGAUUAAGAUUAGGGUUUACUAAUUUCAUGUCUAAAAUUGUUUCGAAGUGGUUAGAAGUGCAAAAAAAAUUAAAAAGUAGGUACAAGCUAAAUAGUGAAGUCCAAAUAACGUACUCAUGAAAUUAUGUCACAUGACAUAAUUUGGAUAUUGAAAUGAAAUAACAUACUAAUAGAUUUUAGUCUUGAAACCAAUUAUGCGCAUGAAAUUAGACUCAAUGGCAUGUCUUGAACACAACUUACCCCAUGGGCAAUCGUUUCAAGAUCAAAAGUGAAAACUAGUUGAACUUGUAGUUUUGUCCAUGGGACAAGCAAGAAAAGUUUAAGAUCACUCACCUUCAAUGUCAUUCUUAAGAGGGUGUUUAGAUUGACUUAAAAGUUGGUCAAACCUACUUUUAAGUCAGUUUUUAACUUCUGGAAGUGUUUGGCAAAUAUAAAAAUAACUUAAAAUAAUUAGAAAGUGUUUGGCAAGGUCAACAAUGACUUAAAUAAGUUAAAAUGACUUAAAAUAAGUCAAAAACCAAAGUAGGUCUCCCCCUACUUUUUAUUUUUUGACUUAAAAGUCAUUUCAGUUUGACUUUUGAUUUUUGACUUAAAAACUAUUCUUUAAGCCAAUCCAAACGGGCUCUAAGAAUCACUCAAUCAAGUGAGUUAGAUAUUGCAAAGUCCAAUUUAAUGGCCAAGAUAAAAUAGGACUUUAAAUUUUGUUUAAAUACUAGAUGAGUAAUUGCAUGUGUAAGCAUAGGCCCAAUAAUGCAAAUCUUUCCAUAGCUCCUUUUCCUUUUAUUUUUCUUUGAACUAAUUCAAUUAGAAUUUCUGCCUCAUAUGUUUUACUGAAAAUAUCUAAAAACAAAGAAAAACAUACCAUAAGAGUUAAGUUGAUUAUCCUCUUUAUUAUUUAAAGGAACAAUAUAUAUUGAUACUCACAUAGAGUGGGCCUUAAGUAAUGGAUACAAUUUACUCUUUGCACUUACUAACUAGGUCUCUUCUAUAUCUUUAUGGACCAACAUAUUGAUACAGCUCGAUAGUAAUUGGGCAUCUAGCUGUCUUUGUAGACCCAAGAAGCAAUCUCAUGCACUGUUGCACCUGAAUUUCAAGCUUGCUCACUCCAACUAUUGUUUUGGUCAACCCUUAGGCUUUCCAAGUUUCUAGUUUUUGGUUUUCUUCAUUGGCACGCAUGUGAUUGCCUCGAGAACCAUACCACUAGUCCCAACAAGUCAUAAACACGGUAUAUGUCUAUGUAAAAGGUCAUUUAAGGGAAAGGAUCCUAAUACUCAAAAUGAAUAGACAAGUCGUUACAUAAAAUGUUUAUUAGUAAUCAACCAAAGCUUGAUGUUAGUUUUCUUUUUAUUUCAUCAUUUUCCAAAUGACUGAAUUUCUACUAAGGCCACCUGGAUACUCUAAAUAUCCUAUUCAUCAAAUUUGUCUAGGUCCAGAUCUUCAGCAUGGUUUAGUGAAAAUAGUCAGAUUUACAUUUUUUUUUCUCAUGGAACAAUGCCUAGCAUACUAAUCAUCCACUAUUUAUUUCCAUCAUUUUUUUCACAAUUUGAUUACCCUUUUCUUCAACAUUUUCCACAAUAUGAUUGACAAACAAACUGCAAACAUGUGUACAAUUUCGUACUAUCAUACAUAGUAAUUUCACUAACAGGUUAACUUGAAAACAUUCAAUCCAGAUCAACUGCACGUCAUACUACCAAAACUACUAAGCUCAUAAUCUUGCAAAUGAAUGCUUAAUAAGCAACUAAUAUUUUUAGGACCACGCUAAUAAUAGAAUCAAAUUUCAACCCAAAAAGUUUAGCUCAAAAUUCAGCUAAAGACUCAUAGGCAUUUAUAAUUAAGAGAUCUUACUUCUUUUCAGAUAUCUCCACAACCAUGGCAUUCUGCUUCUCCACAACCUCUGAUUUCUUCAACGGUUGUGAAAUUUCACCCUUAUCAGUCACUGAAGAACACCAUAUUUUACAUUCGGUCAAUAGAAAUGAGCUCCAUUAACACAUACAUUUGAGAAAAAAAACCAAUACUUCUCGACCCUCCCUCCCCAAAACCAAUAUAAAAAACCAAGAGUAGCUUUUGCACCAAAUAUGAUAAAAGAAAAAAGACAUAAUUUUUCUCCAAAUGGAUAUCAGAUAAACUACUAAUUUACUCUACAUUCUGCAAAUAGGUAUCAUUAACACAUACAAGUGAUAAAAUCAAUACCCCUCAACCCCCAUCCAGCCCACAACAUUUUUGAGACCAAAAGAAAGGAAAAAGAUUCACUUUUUCCAAAUUGGUUUCUUUUUUUUUGAGAAAGGUAACAUUUACUUCUAUAUAUAUACCACUUCAAAGUGUAGUCCCCCUCCAAAAAGUUUUACUUGCAUCAUUCCUAAGAUCUUUUAGUUACAGUCAAUAUUAUUAAACACAUUUUCAGCAUCUCCUAUCACUACUUGCUUACACCAAAAAUAGUAAAGCCCUAGGCAAUUUGUCUUUAUCUUCUGGAUAUUGUUAUGUUUUCCUUCAAAACAUCUUUGAUUCCUUUCCUUCCAAAUUGUCCACCAAAUGCAAGCUGGGACAAUCCUCCAUCUCUUCUCUUUUUUCCUUGCAUUUCCAUCCCUGUUCCAGCAUUGUAGGACUUCUAUAAUUCUCCCAGGAUUUUAUUUUUUAUGACAAGGAACCCGCAGCCGCUACCCUUUGGGUGCGCACAGGGUAAUAAUUCUCCCAGGAUUUGUCCACUUAAUCUUCCACUUUUGGAUGAACAUCUGCCACAAUUGAUUUGUCCAUUUGCAGUGUCAAAAGAGAUGGUUCCUGAUAACCUACUUAUUCACUCUUAUAAGUUCAAACAAUAAAAUCAAUACCCCUCAACCCCCAUCCACCCACACCAACAUUUUGAGACCAAAAGAAAGGAAAAAGAUUCACUUUUUUCCAAAGUGGUAUCUGAUAAACUACUUAUUCACUCUUCUACAUUUUGCAAAUAGGUUCAUUAACACAUACAAGUGAUAAAAUUAAUACCCCUCAACCCCAUCCAGGCAUCCACCCCACACCAACAUUUUGACACCAAAAGAAAGGAAAAAGAUUCACUUUUUUCAAAGUGGUAUCUGAUAAACUACUUAUUCACUCUUCUACAUUCUGCAAAUAGGUUAAUUUAAAACAUACAAGUCAUAAUAUUAAUACCCCUCAACCCCCAUCCAGGCAUUCACCCCACACCAACAUUUUGAGACAAAAAGAAAGGAACAAGAUUCACUUUUUCCAAAUUAGUAUCUGAUAACCUACUUAUUCACUCUUCUACAUUCUGCAAAUAGGUUCAUUAACACAUACAAGUGACAGAAUCAAACCCCCUAAACCCCCACCAACCCCAGACAAACAUUUUGAGACCAAAGGAAAGGAAAAAAGAUUUAUUUUUUUCCAAACUGAUAUCUGAUAAAUUACUUAUUCACUCUUCUACAUUCUGCAAAUAGGUUCAUUAACACAUACAAGUGAUAAAAUCAAUACCCCUCAACCCCAAUACAGGCAUCCACUCCACACCAACAUUUUGAGACCAAAAGAAAGGAAAAAGACUCACUUUAUCCAAAUUGGUAUCUGAUAAACUACUUAUUCACUUUCUACAUUCUGCAAAUAGGUUCAUAACACAUACAAAUGAUAAAAACAAUACCCUUCAACCCCAUCCACCCCACACCCAACAUUUUGAGACCUAACGAAAGGAAAAAGAUUCACUUUUUCCCAAAUUGGUAUCUGAUAAACUACCUACUCAUCUGCCUAAUUCUACCAACAGAAAAAAGGUUCACUUUUUAAACAAAAUCCAAGUGAAAUAAUCAAAUCCCAACCCAACAUCAGAAUCAAGAAUCAACAUUCUGAGGCAAAAAUGAAGGGAAAAAGACAAAUUUUUUCAAGUGGGUAUUUGAUAAAUUACCUGCAAUGUCGAUCAGCGAUCGCAAUUUGGGUGAAUGAAGACGAGAGAUGGACAUUAUGCUCUCCCAUUUCUCACAGGGAGAGAAAGCAACAGCAGAGGGUUUUGGCGAGGUUUUAGGAUACUCAAAAGUCAGAACAAGAUACACAAGUAAAUGUAAUGAACU
RNAcentral lists this long non-coding RNA (30652 nucleotides) under Solanum tuberosum (potato). Its description in RNAcentral is "long non-coding RNA (STUB_LNC008959)". The record is from RNAcentral. Lineage: Eukaryota; Viridiplantae; Streptophyta; Magnoliopsida; Solanales; Solanaceae.